GACGAACGCUGGCGGCGUGCUUAACACAUGCAAGUCGAACGGAAAGGCCCUGCUUUUGUGGGGUGCUCGAGUGGCGAACGGGUGAGUAACACGUGAGUAACCUGCCCUUGACUUUGGGAUAACUUCAGGAAACUGGGGCUAAUACCGGAUAGGAGCUCCUGCUGCAUGGUGGGGGUUGGAAAGUUUCGGCGGUUGGGGAUGGACUCGCGGCUUAUCAGCUUGUUGGUGGGGUAGUGGCUUACCAAGGCUUUGACGGGUAGCCGGCCUGAGAGGGUGACCGGGGGUAUUAGGAAGGGGGGACGGGCCAGACGCCAGCGGGGGGCGGGAGGGGGAAGAGGGAGCGGAGGGCGAGAGCAGGGGGCGGCGACGCGCCGUGGGAGAUGGCGCGUGUGGAGUUGAGACGCGAGAGCGGUGGUGAGAAGGGGAGGGAGGAGGUAAUGGGUAACAAAGAACAGACUGGCUACGGGGCAGCAGCUGGGGAAAGAGGGGGAAUGGCAUAGGGCCAACC
This 508-nucleotide ribosomal RNA is filed under the name uncultured bacterium. RNAcentral's name for it is "partial 16S ribosomal RNA". The stretch from base 20 to 332 matches the Rfam family "Bacterial small subunit ribosomal RNA", at positions 47 to 358 of the family's 1533-position model. The record is from RNAcentral.